CCCCUGCCUGCCUCUCCCCAACUUCUGAGUUGGUGUCUGCUCUGUUUUGGAAAUAGACCAAAAGUUGUGAAGUAUGGGAUGCUCAAGUGACCAGACUGGACAGAUAGAAAGUGCUGGAGAUUGAACCCAGGGCCUUGUGCAUGCAUACUAGGCAAGCAUUCUACCACUGAUCUACCCACUCCCGAGCCUGGCAUAGGGUAAGGUCGAACAGUCAGUCUGUUGGAAGUCUAGAGAAGGCAGAGCAUGGCAUAGCAAGCCUUUCUUCAAAGGGCAACUUGUUCUUGACAAGACUGUAGGACGGGCUCCAUCUUGAAGAACAGGACUGGGACGGUGUUCGAUGGUCAAGCUAAAUGGCCAGGAGGCUUGCAGUUUGUAUCUCUUGCUUGCUGGGGCCUAUUUUCACUCUUUGCCCCUUCAAGUCUGCCCACCGGGUCACUUGGUCACCAAAGGGACACUGCCAGUUAGUGAUAACAUCUUUGCAGCCUCCAUGUGAGGCUGUCUGCACCAUCGCCCCGUGGCAGCUCUCUCCCGGAGUGCGGGAGAGGGUGGCGUGGCCACUGCCGUGUCGGGGACAGCUAUAGUCCCGGCUGCUUGCAAUCGGAGCUGCCAGGGAGAGGGGCGGGAGAGGGGGCC
This is a long non-coding RNA of Dipodomys spectabilis (banner-tailed kangaroo rat), 633 nucleotides long. RefSeq lists it as uncharacterized. Lineage: Eukaryota; Metazoa; Chordata; Mammalia; Rodentia; Heteromyidae. The transcript has 3 exons. The record is from RefSeq and is a predicted model, not a curated record.